CGCAUUUCCUUCCGACAGCAUCAGAGAAGCCUUCCAGGUUAAGGGUUGGAUUGGUCUCCAACAAAGAAGAAACAACAUCAUGCAUCAACAUUCCUCUUCUGUACACCAUACACCAGAAAAUUAAAGAAAGUGCUGCCACAUCCAGUCUUCAGAAAAAGAUUCCUUGUGCGGAGGAACAUCAUGAAGAAACUACUGGAAAAAUUGGGUUUGGUG
Long non-coding RNA from Sinocyclocheilus grahami, 213 nucleotides. RefSeq lists it as uncharacterized. The record is from RefSeq and is a predicted model, not a curated record. The transcript is spliced from 4 exons. NCBI's taxonomy places the organism in Eukaryota, Metazoa, Chordata, Actinopteri, Cypriniformes, Cyprinidae.